RNAcentral lists this ribosomal RNA (751 nucleotides) under Podaxis sp. D BHC-2016. RNAcentral's name for it is "eukaryotic LSU rRNA". The stretch from base 343 to 496 matches the Rfam family "5.8S ribosomal RNA". Lineage: Eukaryota; Fungi; Basidiomycota; Agaricomycetes; Agaricales; Agaricaceae. The record is from RNAcentral.
GUCGUAACAAGGUUUCCGUAGGUGAACCUGCGGAAGGAUCAUUAUCGAAUAUACUUGAUGGGCUGUAGCUGGCUCCCCGGAGCAAUGUGCACGCCUGUCUUGACUUUAUUCAUCCACCUGUGCACCCUUUGUAGUCUCUGGGGGUUGAUAGCGGGGCUGACCGUCGAAGAAGGGGUUCUCUCUGGCCUCUUCACGGAUAUGAGGGGUGCUGCGCGAAAGUGCUGCUCCCUUCAAGUGGCCUUGUGACCUCUCCCCCAGAGGUCUAUGUUGUUUCAUACACCACAGUAGCAUGUUGUAGAAUGUUAUUCGAUGGGCCUCUCGUGCCUAUAGAACUUGUAAUACAACUUUCAGCAACGGAUCUCUUGGCUCUCGCAUCGAUGAAGAACGCAGCGAAAUGCGAUAAGUAAUGUGAAUUGCAGAAUUCAGUGAAUCAUCGAAUCUUUGAACGCAUCUUGCGCUCCUUGGUAUUCCGAGGAGCAUGCCUGUUUGAGUGUCAUUAAAUUCUCAACUCCACUCCAGUUUUUUGAAGCUGGUGUUCGGGGCUUGGACAUUGGGGGUCUAUGCCGGCCUUUGUAAAACGAGGUCGGCUCCUCUGAAAUGCAUUAGCGGAACCGUUUGCGGUCCAUCACAGGUGUGAUAACUAUCUACGCCGUGGGGCUGCUCUCUGUCUGUUCAGCUGCCAAUCGUCCUUCCAGGGGACAAUCUCUGAACAUUUUGACCUCAAAUCAGGUAGGACUACCCGCUGAACUUA